This is a long non-coding RNA of Priapulus caudatus, 98 nucleotides long. RefSeq lists it as uncharacterized. The transcript has 2 exons. The record is from RefSeq and is a predicted model, not a curated record. Lineage: Eukaryota; Metazoa; Priapulida; Priapulimorpha; Priapulimorphida; Priapulidae.
GGCGCUUGUGUGCAAUCACAAACGUAUCAAGUUAAUCGGCAUAACAUUGUGUACUUGGGACGAGCGUUCCUGAGUACUGCUGCCGCGUACCAAUAGAA